This 434-nucleotide ribosomal RNA is filed under the name uncultured Lachnospiraceae bacterium. RNAcentral's name for it is "partial 16S ribosomal RNA". It matches the Rfam family "Bacterial small subunit ribosomal RNA", at positions 341 to 792 of the family's 1533-position model. The record is from RNAcentral. Lineage: Bacteria; Bacillati; Bacillota; Clostridia; Lachnospirales; Lachnospiraceae.
ACGGAAGGCAGCAGUGGGGAAUAUUGCACAAUGGGGGAAACCCUGAUGCAGCGACGCCGCGUGAGUGAAGAAGUAUUUCGGUAUGUAAAGCUCUAUCAGCAGGAAAGAAAAUGACGGUACCUGACUAGGAAGCCCCGGCUAACUACGUGCCAGCAGCCGCGGUAAUACGUAGGGGGCAAGCGUUAUCCGGAUUUACUGGGUGUAAAGGGAGCGUAGACGGCUUGGCAAGUCUGAAGUGAAAGCCCGGGGCUCAACCCCGGAACUGCUUUGGAAACUGUUGAGCUGGAGUGCAGGAGAGGUAAGCGGAAUUCCUAGUGUAGCGGUGAAAUGCGUAGAUAUUAGGAGGAACACCAGCGGCGAAGGCGGCUUACUGGACUGUAACUGACGUUGAGGCUCGAAGGCGUGGGGAGCAAACAGGAUUAGAUACCCUGGUA